Molecule: long non-coding RNA, 319 nt
Filed under: Homo sapiens (human)
Lineage: Eukaryota; Metazoa; Chordata; Mammalia; Primates; Hominidae
Description: ETV7 and PTX1 antisense RNA 1 (ETV7-AS1)
Source: RNAcentral
CUUGCCUUGCUGGAGAAGGGGCUCAAGGCACAGGACUUGCCUCGGACUUGCCAAGGAGGCUUGCAGGAGGCUCUUUGUCUACUCCUCUGUCCUCAUCCAACAAAUGGUUGUUCCAGAAAAAAUGCAGCAACACCUGAACUCUUCUAAAGAAAAAGAAGACAAAAUGAUCUAGUGCAUCUCUGCCAUCCUGUUGAAGAUCCUAUUUGAAAAAAGGGAGACACAGAGAAAGGUUUUUUUUUUUUUUUAAAAGUGAUAGAAUAAUCCAAAGUUAAAAAUUCAACACAAUGGAAAAUAUUAAUUCAAUCCAUGCUGCAAACAA